This 287-nucleotide ribosomal RNA is filed under the name uncultured rumen protozoa. RNAcentral describes it as "partial 18S ribosomal RNA". It matches the Rfam family "Eukaryotic small subunit ribosomal RNA", at positions 1275 to 1592 of the family's 1831-position model. The record is from RNAcentral.
UGGUGGUGCAUGGCCGUUCUUAGUUGGUGGAGUGAUUUGUCUGGUUAAUUCCGAUAACGAACGAGACCUUAACCUGCUAACUAGUUGCUUUUGCUUUGCGAUUGCUAACUUCUUAGAGGGACUAUGUAAAUCAAUUACAUGGAAGUUUGAGGCAAUAACAGGUCAGUGAUGCCCUUAUAUGUCCUGGGCUGCACGCGUGCUACACUGAUGUAUACAACAAGUGCCUAGCCAGACAUGGUAUGGCAAUCUCGAAUAUGCAUCGUGAUGGGGAUAGAUCUUUGCAAUUA